GACGAACGCUGGCGGCGUGCUUAACACAUGCAAGUCGAACGGAAAGGCCCUGCUUGUGUGUGGUGCUCGAGUGGCGAACGGGUGAGUAACACGGGAGUAACCUUCCCUUUACUGUGUGAUAACUUCAGGAAACUGGUGCUAAUACCUGAUAGGAGCUCCUGCUGCAUGGUGGUGGUUGGAAAGUUUCGGCGGAUGUGGAUGGACUCGCGGCUUAUCAGCUUGUUGGUGGGGUAGUGGCUUACCAAGGCUUUGACGGGUAGCCGGCCUGAGAGGGUGACCGGCCACCUUGGGACUGAGAUACGGCCCAGACUCCUACGGGAGGCAGCAGUGGGGAAUCUUGCACAAUGGGCGGAAGCCUGAUGCAGCAACGCCGCGUGCGGGAUGACGGCCUUCGGGUUGUAAACCGCUUUCGCCUGUGACGAAGCGUGAGUGACGGUAAUGGGUAAAGAAGCACCGGCUAACUACGUG
RNAcentral lists this ribosomal RNA (468 nucleotides) under uncultured bacterium. RNAcentral describes it as "partial 16S ribosomal RNA". It matches the Rfam family "Bacterial small subunit ribosomal RNA", at positions 28 to 507 of the family's 1533-position model. The record is from RNAcentral.